UAGUCCACGCCGUAAACGAUGGUUACUAGAUGUUUGGUGGAUUAACCCGCUGAGUAUCAAAGCACACGCAUUAAGUAACCCGCCUGGGGAGUACGGUCGCAAGGCUAAAACUCAAAGGAAUUGACGGGGGCCCGCACAAGCGGUGGAGUAUGUGGUUUAAUUCGAAGCAACGCGAAGAACCUUACCUGGCCUUGACAUCCCGUGACAACCUCAGAGAUGAGGCUUUCUCUUCGGAGACGCGGAGACAGGUGCUGCAUGGCUGUCGUCAGCUCGUGUUGUGAAAUGUUCGGUUAAGUCCGGCAACGAGCGCAACCCCUAUCCUUAGUUACCAUCAUUAAGUUGGGGACUCUAGGGAGACUGCCGGUGUUAAGCCGGAGGAAGGCGGGGAUGACGUCAAGUCCGCAUGGCCCUUACGGCCAGGGCUACACACGUACUACAAUGGCAGAGACAAGCUGUUGCGAAACCGUAAGGUCAAGCUAAAUCAGUAAAACACUGUCCCAGUCCGGAUUGAGGUCUGCAAUUCGACCU
Molecule: ribosomal RNA, 528 nt
Filed under: uncultured bacterium
Lineage: Bacteria
Description: bacterial SSU rRNA
Rfam family: Bacterial small subunit ribosomal RNA
Source: RNAcentral